CUUCAACGAGCCAAGCAGCAGAGGCCGUUCCCCGUCCCGUUCCUGGCCGUACGUCGCCAGCAGCGCAUCCGCCUC
Molecule: antisense RNA, 75 nt
Filed under: Streptomyces sp. NRRL S-4
Lineage: Bacteria; Bacillati; Actinomycetota; Actinomycetes; Kitasatosporales; Streptomycetaceae
Description: ASpks sRNA
Rfam family: ASpks TB sRNA
Source: RNAcentral